GCGGGAUUAGUUGAGCGGUUCAACAUCAGCUUUCCAAGCUGAGAAGACGGGUCCGACUCCCGUAUCCCGCUC
Molecule: transfer RNA, 72 nt
Filed under: Microgenomates group bacterium ADurb.Bin219
Lineage: Bacteria
Description: tRNA-Gly
Rfam family: tRNA
About the family: Transfer RNA (tRNA) molecules are approximately 80 nucleotides in length. Their secondary structure includes four short double-helical elements and three loops (D, anti-codon, and T loops). Further hydrogen bonds mediate the characteristic L-shaped molecular structure. tRNAs have two regions of fundamental functional importance: the anti-codon, which is responsible for specific mRNA codon recognition, and the 3' end, to which the tRNAs corresponding amino acid is attached (by aminoacyl-tRNA synthetases). tRNAs cope with the degeneracy of the genetic code in two manners: having more than one tRNA (with a specific anti-codon) for a particular amino acid; and 'wobble' base-pairing, i.e. permitting non-standard base-pairing at the 3rd anti-codon position.
Source: RNAcentral